UGAGGAAUAUUGCACAAUGGGGGAAACCCUGAUGCAGCGACGCCGCGUGAACGAAGAAGGUAUUCGUAUCGUAAAGUUCUGUCCUAUGGGAAGAUAAUGACAGUACCAUAGAAGAAAGCUCCGGCUAAAUACGUGCCAGCAGCCGCGGUAAUACGUAUGGAGCGAGCGUUGUCCGGAAUUAUUGGGCGUAAAGGGUACGCAGGCGGUUUAAUAAGUCGAAUGUUAAAGAUCGGGGCUCAACCCCGUAAAGCAUUGGAAACUGAUAAACUUGAGUAGUGGAGAGGAAAGUGGAAUUCCUAGUGUAGUGGUGAAAUAAGUAGGUAUUAGGAGGAAUACCAGUAGCGAAGGCGACUUUCUGGACACAAACUGACGCUGAGGUACGAAAGCGUGGGGAGCAAACAGG
This 403-nucleotide ribosomal RNA is filed under the name bacterium. RNAcentral's name for it is "partial 16S ribosomal RNA". It matches the Rfam family "Bacterial small subunit ribosomal RNA", at positions 355 to 776 of the family's 1533-position model. The record is from RNAcentral.